This 379-nucleotide ribosomal RNA is filed under the name uncultured eukaryote. RNAcentral's name for it is "partial 18S ribosomal RNA". It matches the Rfam family "Eukaryotic small subunit ribosomal RNA", at positions 592 to 976 of the family's 1831-position model. The record is from RNAcentral.
CAAUAGCGUAUAUUUAAGUUGUUGCAGUUAAAAAGCUCGUAGUUGGAUUUCGGGUAGGAUUUGCCGGUCCGUCUUUGAGAUGUGUACUGGUAAGUCCUAUCUUCUUGUCGGGGACCAGCUCCUGGGCUUCACUGUCCGGGACUGGGAGCCGACGAAGUUACUUUGAGUAAAUUAGAGUGUUCAAAGCAAGCCUACGCUCUGAAUAUAUUAGCAUGGAAUAACACGAUAGGACUCUGGCUUAUCUUGUUGGUCUGUGAGACCAGAGUAAUGAUUAAGAGGGACAGUCGGGGACAUUCGUAUUUCAUUGCCAGAGGUGAAAUUCUUGGAUUUAUGAAAGACGAACUUCUGCGAAAGCAUUUGUCAAGGAUGUUUUCAUUAA